This 406-nucleotide unclassified non-coding RNA is filed under the name fungal sp. RNAcentral's name for it is "partial internal transcribed spacer region". The stretch from base 1 to 46 matches the Rfam family "Eukaryotic small subunit ribosomal RNA", at positions 1786 to 1831 of the family's 1831-position model. Lineage: Eukaryota; Fungi. The record is from RNAcentral.
AAGUCGUAACAAGGUUUCCGUAGGUGAACCUGCGGAAGGAUCAUUAACACGUAUCCAAACGUUAAACAACCCCGUGAACAUACAACCUGCUCUGGUCGCCCGCUCGCAUGGACAAGCCCAGUAAAUCAAGCCCCGGAAAGUUUUUGAUUUGGGACCUCUGUGCGCGUGAGAAAAACUGACAGCGAUUCAUAGAAGCGGUAGGUCAAGUGACACGGCGUCCCCAAGUGACCAGUGAAUGAAAGUGUCGCUGGAGCGUCAAGGACGACUCUUCAAGAUUGCUAGACCACCGACCGGCUUCCGUGUAUACCGAGCUAACACCGCUCCCACUUUAUUGCCUUGCCUGUAAGCAUCCAUACGGAUGGGCAGGCCCCCCGAACAACUGUUAACAAUGGAUAUCUUGGUUCUC